UACGUAGGUGACAAGCGUUAUCCGGAAUUACUGGGCGUAAAGCGCACGCAGGCGGUGCGAUAAGUCUGACGUGAAAUCUCCCGGCUUAACUGGGAGGGGUCGUUGGAAACUGUCGUGCUUGAGGCGAUGAGAGGGGUGUAGAAUUCCCGGUGUAGUGGUGGAAUGCGUAGAUAUCGGGAGGAAUACCAGUGGCGAAAGCGGCACCCUGGCAUUAGCCUGACGCUCAUGUGCGAAGGCGUGGGGAGCGAACGGG
RNAcentral lists this ribosomal RNA (253 nucleotides) under uncultured bacterium. RNAcentral's name for it is "partial 16S ribosomal RNA". It matches the Rfam family "Bacterial small subunit ribosomal RNA", at positions 524 to 776 of the family's 1533-position model. The record is from RNAcentral.